This 254-nucleotide ribosomal RNA is filed under the name uncultured bacterium. Its description in RNAcentral is "partial 16S ribosomal RNA". It matches the Rfam family "Bacterial small subunit ribosomal RNA", at positions 524 to 776 of the family's 1533-position model. The record is from RNAcentral.
UACGUAGGGGGCAAGCGUUGUUCGGAAUGACUGGGCGUAAAGGGUGCGUAGGCGGUGUAGCAAGUUAGAAGUGAAAUACCUAGAGCUUAACUCAGGAGCUGCUUCUAAAACUGCUAUACUUGAGUGCAGUAGAGGAAAGUGGAAUUCCUAGUGUAGCGGUGGAAUGCGUAGAUAUUAGGAGGAACAUCAGUGGCGAAGGCGACUUUCUGGACUGUAACUGACGCUGAGGCACGAAAGUGUGGGGAGCAAACAGG